UCUUUUUCUUCUCACACCGUUAAGAGAGAGCGGGGGGAAGGGAAUAGGGAGAAUCGGGAAGAAAGAGAGAUAGAAAGCUGCUGGGGGUUGCGGCGGCGCCAUGGCAGCCCCACGGUGGUGUCACGCGUAAGGGAUCUCCGGCAGAGCUCCGAUGUACCGUCGGUGGAGAAAUACCCCGAUAAUCGAAUGCUUGGUACCCGUGAACUUGUGAAUGGAAAGGUAUAUUGGUGCUUGUUAUGGAACAUACUGAACUCCUUAAGUACUUCUUGUGUUUGACUAUUUGUUGACAAUAUUUAUAUGCAUUUUGUUGGGUCUACAACAUGGACCGUAUGUGUGGUUGACUUACAAGCAAGUGUAUGACAAGGUGAUACAGGUUGGAAAUGCUAUCCGUGCAUGUGGUGUCGAGCCGGAUCCUAUUAGAAGCAUAGGUAUAGACUCCAACAUUCGUGUAACGAACGAUGGGAGCAAACGUAUCCGAGGAAAGGUAUCAAAAUGUUUAUUUGUAGUUAUAAAAUCAUCUUCUGAAAAGCGAAGUGUUUUCCAAUACUGGAUGGUAUAUCCUAAUACCUCAAACUAUGAUGCUCAUGUAAAGGUACCAUCAAUCCUUUGUGCAAAUUAUUGUAAACUUAAUU
Molecule: long non-coding RNA, 632 nt
Filed under: Helianthus annuus (common sunflower)
Lineage: Eukaryota; Viridiplantae; Streptophyta; Magnoliopsida; Asterales; Asteraceae
Description: hypothetical non coding rna
Source: RNAcentral